RNAcentral lists this ribosomal RNA (253 nucleotides) under uncultured bacterium. RNAcentral describes it as "partial 16S ribosomal RNA". It matches the Rfam family "Bacterial small subunit ribosomal RNA", at positions 524 to 776 of the family's 1533-position model. The record is from RNAcentral.
UACGUAGGAGGCAAGCGUUGUCCGGAAUUACUGGGCGUAAAGCGCGUGUAGGUGGUGGGACAAGUCUGCUGUGAAAGCGCCUGGCUUAACCGGGCGAGGUCGGCGGAAACUGUCGCACUCGAGGACGGUAGAGGGGGGUGGAAUUCCCGGUGUAGUGGUGAAAUUCGUAGAGAUCGGGUGGAACACCAGUGGCGAAGGCGCCUGUCUGGCUGACAACUGACGCUGAGACUCGAAAGCAUGGGGAGCAAACAGG